This 1102-nucleotide long non-coding RNA is filed under the name Ursus maritimus (polar bear). RNAcentral's name for it is "lncRNA (ENSUMAG00000023386.1)". The record is from RNAcentral. Lineage: Eukaryota; Metazoa; Chordata; Mammalia; Carnivora; Ursidae.
UCGGGUCUCAGAACGGGCACUUGGGUUUUUAAUAGAACUAUUCACCAGGGAAAUUGGAAAGCCCCAGAGGAAGAAAGACGUGAUGUACUAACAUCUGUUAACCAAACAGCAGAACUUUUAAAGCGUUCAAUACAAGGCACCGUUUUUAGCCUUGUGGAGACAAAGGAAGAAACCAAUAUUAAUUGAGCAUCUGUUAUGUUCAAGAAUUCCUUCAUAUCUUGAUUCACCAAGUGUUCAUCUACUGCCUUCCCUAUGCUGUGUGUGGGGGCGGUGAAUGAGAAAGCUCUUGCCCUCAUAGGGCUUUCGGUCUCAGAAGUGCCAGGCCCUGUGCUGGGCAGUCAUCCUGAAGCUUCCAACUGUGCUUUGUAAUUUGCUGUGUGCAUAUCCAUCACUUCCCUGGAUCGUGGCAACCUACUUCGGACGGAGGAGUGUGUCCAUUCUGUGGCGUCAUGCCCUUUAGCUCCUGAGCGGCCCCUCAAGACGAAUGGGACAGAAGAACCUUCAUGCACACAUUCCUUACAGUUACACUGACAGCCUCUUGCCAUCCUCUGAAACAAACAGGAAACACAGAAUCAGAAAUAUCCAGGGAUCCUGCUUUUCUCUUUUUAAAAAGUGUUUCUGGGCAAUCUGAAUGUCAUGUAGUUAAUAAGUUGGGAAAGAGACUCCGUAAAUCAAUAAAGAAACUGAUAUUGGAUUACGUUAGUUGCCUGUGAUAGAUGAGAUCUUCAACAUACCAAGACAACGCCUACCUCGAAUGCAGCUGCCCAAGUGAGACUCUUAAAAUAGGGAUGUAAUCAGGGAUUUGCUCACGUGCUCAAUUCCAAAUUCCUAAGCGUGGUUCUCAAUUGUGGCCUCAUUCUCCACUACUUUCGGUUCAAACACUCAGUACUUCAGAUCAGGUACACUCCUCAGGCCUCAUGUAAGCUUUCUAAGUCAUUGCACAUGGUGACUCCUCUGUUGUAUUUUCUGCAUACCUCAGGUAGCAGGUCAGAUGUCACUUCCUCUCUGAAGAGUUCUUCUCUGAUCUUUCAGAGCAUUGUAUAAAUCUCCUGUCUCUGUUGAGCCCUCAUUACAUGGCAUUGUGGUGGGUUUGUUUUUGUUU